Molecule: non-coding RNA, 96 nt
Organism: Fomitopsis pinicola
Lineage: Eukaryota; Fungi; Basidiomycota; Agaricomycetes; Polyporales; Fomitopsidaceae
Source: Rfam
UGCCCCAUGGCUUAGUUGGCUAUAGCGUCCGACUGUUAUGUUGCGUACUUUGCUUACGUGAUCGGAAGGUCGGGAGUUCGAGACUCCCUGGGGCAG